GUCUACGGCCACGCUACCCUGAACAAGCCCGAUUCUGUCUAAUCUUGGAAGCUAAGCAGGGUCAGGCCUGGUUAGUACUUGGAUGGGAGACCACCUAGGAAGACCAGCUGCUGUAGGCA
Molecule: non-coding RNA, 119 nt
Organism: Pteropus alecto (black flying fox)
Lineage: Eukaryota; Metazoa; Chordata; Mammalia; Chiroptera; Pteropodidae
Source: Rfam